RNAcentral lists this ribosomal RNA (600 nucleotides) under Serratia sp. (in: enterobacteria). RNAcentral describes it as "bacterial SSU rRNA". It matches the Rfam family "Bacterial small subunit ribosomal RNA", at positions 717 to 1318 of the family's 1533-position model. Lineage: Bacteria; Pseudomonadati; Pseudomonadota; Gammaproteobacteria; Enterobacterales; Yersiniaceae. The record is from RNAcentral.
UGAGACCCGCCCUGGAGACAACACUCACUCUGAGGUGAGAGAGUGUGAGCGCACACAGGUUUAGAUCCCUUGGUAGUCCACUCUGUAAUCGAUGUAGACUAGGAGCUUGUGCCCUUGAGGUGCCAUUCCGUAGUUAACGCGUUAAGUCGCCCGCUUGGGGAGUACGUCCGCAAGGUUAAAACUCAAGUGAUUUGUCGGGGGCCCGCACAAGCGGUGGAGCAUGUGGUUUAAUUCGAUGCAACGCGAAGAACCUUACCUUCUCUUGACAUCCAGAGAAUUCGCUAGAGAUAGCUGGGUGCCUUGGGGAACUGUGAGACAGGUGUUGCAUGGCUGUCGUCAGCUCGUGUUGUGAAAGGUUGGGUUAAGUCCCGCAAGGAGCGCAACCCUUAUCCUUUGUUGCCAGCGGGUAAUGGCGGGAACUCAAAGGAGACUGCCGGUGAAAAACCGGAGGAAGGUGGGGAUGACGUCAAGUCAUCAUGGCCCUUACGACUAGGGCUACACACGUGCUACAAUGGUGUAUACAAAGAGAAGCGAACUCGCGAGAGCAAGCGGACCUCAUAAAGUACGUCGUAGUCCGGAUCGGAGUCUGCAACUCGACUC